RNAcentral lists this long non-coding RNA (914 nucleotides) under Homo sapiens (human). RNAcentral describes it as "non-protein coding PRKAG2-AS1:13". The record is from RNAcentral. Lineage: Eukaryota; Metazoa; Chordata; Mammalia; Primates; Hominidae.
AGACCCCUGCGGCGGCCGCAGCCGCUUGGGACUCGCUGCGAGCUGGUUUCGGAUCCAUCCCGCCUCCCGGCGUCUCACUGUGUGCCCUACCCUUUGAAACACGCCCCCGCGCCCGCCCUGCCGUAGACCAGGCAGCGAGGAAGCCCACAGUCUCCGGGGGCGCUGCGCGCGAAGUAGCACGUGCUUCUCGAAACACCGCAGCCCCCGGGUCCCGCCCCGCCCGGCGCGCGCACUCGAACCCGCCCAGAGAGCGAAUGAAGCCAGCCUGGAAGAUCCCCAGUCUCGAGACAGAGCCUGACAGGGGCAGAUGCACUGGAAGGACCCUGUCUGGGUUUAGCAACCAAGCAGCCAUCCUGGCCCCACAGGUGUGGGACUUCUGGGUCUUCUCCUGGCUGGCUUCUUGCUAGAGGAUUUCAAGAGACCCAGCAAGACUGUAUUGUCCCACUGAAUGCUCAAGAUAUUGGUUAGAAGUAGAAAAGGGGAGGGGGUAGUAUUUAGCCUCUGUCCCCACUAAAAAUUAUUCCCAAUUGUCAUUUGUGUCAUCUGUUUAGCUUACAGUUUUAAUCCUUGUCAAAAUGAUCAUUUGCCAGGGUGCAUAAAACACCCUAUUUGAUGAGAACUGGUUUUAAAGGAAAAUGGGGCCAUCAGAAGGAAGCCGGUUGGUGUGAAGAGACGUCUGGGAAGAGCCCCUGGCGAGGGCCCUCAUUCCACUGGGUGACCCAGAAGGAGAAAACCGCGAUGGCGCUUCUCAUUUGAAAUGUUUUCUUUAUGGACAGUGUUUAGCAAUUGUUAUAAUGUGUACUUUUGUUGAUUGAUCUGUAUACAUAUGUAAAAUAAUUUGUUCUCUGAGUUAAUUUUGUUGGAACAAAGACUUUAGUGCUUCCUACAUUAAAACAUUUUACUGUAUUGCCUGC